GAAAUGCGAUAAGUAAUGUGAAUUGCAGAAUUCAGUGAAUCAUCGAAUCUUUGAACGCACAUUGCGCCCGCCAGUAUUCUGGCGGGCAUGCCUGUUCGAGCGUCAUUUCAACCAUCAAGCCCCGCGCUUGUGUUGGGGACCUGCGGCUGCCGCAGGCCCUGAAAACCAGUGGCGGGCUCGCUGUCACACCGAGCGUAGUAGAUUUCUCAUCUCGCUCAGGGCGUGCUGCGGGUUCCGGCCGCAAAAAAGCCUUAUUUUACCCAAGGUUGACCUCGGAUCAGGUAGGAAGACCCGCUGAACUUAAGC
RNAcentral lists this unclassified non-coding RNA (306 nucleotides) under plant metagenome. RNAcentral describes it as "partial contains 5.8S ribosomal RNA, internal transcribed spacer 2, and large subunit ribosomal RNA". The stretch from base 1 to 105 matches the Rfam family "5.8S ribosomal RNA", at positions 50 to 154 of the family's 154-position model. The record is from RNAcentral.